This 1035-nucleotide long non-coding RNA is filed under the name Canis lupus familiaris (dog). RNAcentral describes it as "lncRNA (ENSCAFG00845002477.1)". The record is from RNAcentral. Lineage: Eukaryota; Metazoa; Chordata; Mammalia; Carnivora; Canidae.
AUGUCGAAGGAACCACAGCUGGCUGGCUGCCACUGUGUCCCAUGGUCCUCGUCCCGCUCCCCCCUCCCCUCGGCGCUGCCCCGAGCUCCCCCUGCACUGCUGGCCCAGCUGCCAGAGGAGGACACAGAAGGGGUUGGGUCGGGGGGGGCCCCACACAGGGUCUCGGGGCCCCCACGGCUCGGGAAGGCCUGGGUGACCCGCGCUGUGUGUGCGAGUGACCCAGGGCUCAGCCCAGCCAUCCCUCCCUCCCUAGGCCGGAGCCUGUCCCCGCCCUGCUGCCGUGGGACCCGGAAGGGGCCCCCACAUGUGUUGACGCAGCGGUGCUGCAACGCGGUUACAAUGUCCCCAUUUCAGAGCCGAGCAGACUGGGGCUCGGGCAGCAGGGUCAGUGCCUUGCUCUCCACGGCCCUGGGCGGAUGCGGCCACUCACGGUCGCCGAGCUGCGGCCCCACCGGGGAAGGCAGGUCCCGUAACUCUUCCCAGCGAGCCCUACAGCGGGCCAGCCCUGACCCGGGGUCGGGAGGACUGGUGGCUCCCAGCUGCUCCCGAAACAGGGCCCGGCCACGCAGGAGGCAGAGGGGGCGGGGAGCAGCCAACGCGGAGGAGCCUGACGGGGGUGGGGGUGGGCGCAGGGGGUACCUUGGCAGAAACCGUCAAGUGCCAGGUGCUUCCACAGCUGCAGGGCUCCACCCCCGGGUCCGCAUUGUCCCCGCCUGUUGGAAAAACAGAUGUUCUUGUCCUCAGUUCCGUCCCUUUGUCCCCAACAAGCACUUAAGCGCAGAAAGAGGGUGGAGAACUGGGGACGGAAUCAGGCAUCUAUUCUGGGCUGUUGCCGUGGCUGCUGUGGGGGGUGGGGAGUGGGGGGGGGUAAGUGGGGCAGGAGGGCCUCCCCCGGCCGGCGGGCUCCAGGGCUGGCGGGUGCCACGGGCUGGCUCCGGGAGGAGGGUGCUCGUCUCCUGGGCUGAUGUCGGGGGCGCCCCUGGCCUUUUGCCUCCGCUUCCAGGAUUUGGGAGGCUGAGUGAGGUCAAGGGCUGA